Molecule: non-coding RNA, 3814 nt
Organism: Misgurnus anguillicaudatus (oriental weatherfish)
Lineage: Eukaryota; Metazoa; Chordata; Actinopteri; Cypriniformes; Cobitidae
Source: RefSeq, a predicted model, not a curated record
AAAGCUCUUAUGCAAGUACUUCAUCUUAACCUGCACGUCUCCCCACAGCCAUCAGAUGGCGCUGUGCUCUUGAUAAUCUGAAAUGUUUGCUGCACUCAUCUCUUCACUUCCGGUUGUGCAUAGUCGAGAAGAAAAAAAAGUCAAUAAUACUGACAAUCCUGAUGGUAUUAUUCCUCAACCUAUUCAUAAUUCACAUUUCAAAGCCUACAGCGAACGGCAGGUUUGGACUACAGCCCUCUACUUCCGGGAUGAAUGACGUCAAAGCAAGAGCGUUUGACUAAACUCCGCCCACAGGAAUACGUCAGUCACUGCUCAAAAACGCCUCUGGCUAAGCUAAGCUGCUAAACAAGCUACACACAAAGAUAAGUACAUUAUGUCAAAAAUACUUCGUUUUUCACACAGGAAACAUGAACAAAUGUUAUAUUGCACACCUUAAACGCAAUCAUAGCUUCAAAAACACAGGUAACUUCGCGUAACUUCCGGUAAACUCUUACAUAGCAAUCCAAAACAUUUGGUAUUUUCGACGAGGAAUUUGUUUAAGAGUUCAGUUUCAGCAACUAGUCAGACCAUUAAACAAACAGAAACCGGAAGUAAAGUUCCUACCAGACGCUUAUCGCGUCACCGCACGUGCGCCCGAUGAAACGGUCUAUAUACAGUAACAAUAAACUCCAGUCUUAUCUGAUUGGAAACCAUAUGAUUUUCAUUUUAUAGUCAAAGAUGUAAAGUUAAAGUUCACCAAGUCUAUCUAUAUUGUUUAAAGACGUCAUGCUAGGUUGAAAGAACAGCAAAUGAUGACAACAUUUUCAGUUUUGGAUAAACUAUUCCUGUUGAUAAAUAUAAAGGACUGAUGAAAUAACAUGCCUAAAAAUAAUAAAUAAAGUAUCACAUCCCAUAAUUCCACAGUGCUCUACUUUACAGAUGAGAAAAGAGAUAGUGAGAGAUGUUUGAACGCUCAUCUACCCCCACACAAACUUCAGAUUGCAUUAAUCAAUAGGUCCCUCUCUCGCGCGCGCUCGCUCGCUCGCAAAUGGUCAUCUACGUAAUUGUUUUUACCUUUUUUUAAUCGUUGAACACAGAACGCAGAUGCCACCUGCCAUCACAGAAUGAGCAAUACUUUUCACUGUCCACCAUUUCCUUUAUAAAUGCUAAUCUAUCAAUGGCUCAUACAACAUGCAAUAGCCAGUUGCCUGGUAACAUCUCUGAUAUGGUUGUUGUGUUUGAGAGAGAAAACCUGCUUUUGUGCAUUUGUCUUUUUUCUUUACUUUUCUAACAACAAUGUUGUUUAUAUAAUACAAGCAUCUGAAUUUCUAACAGCACGCCCACAAGCACUGAUCUUUAUAUGAAGCAGUCACCGAGAGCAUUAUUCUGCAAUCUGUUAUCAGUGGAAUUAUUUAGCAGUUAGAUAUGAAGCAUAACAACAGCUCUCGAUAACAGCGUGAAGCCAUGCGCCAAAACUUUGACAUUUGUAUCACACUUUCCCAGCUAUUUAGGGAGACACUCCAGUCAAAAACCCAUAUAGUUAUGUACAGUAUAAUCUACUUUACACAAGGAAAUAUCUUAGGUUUUUUUAAACAGAAAAUCGGGUUACUGCGGCUUCAAUGGGUUUUGGCUGAAAAUAAAUUCAUAGCAGAGUUCCUAAUGGCGAUGCCAACAGAAGCUGGUGAAGAUGUUAAUUUGCACAGUCGAGUUUGUCAUAGAUAAAAAUCAUCCAGAUCUGAGUAAAUAACAGAAAGGCAUCUUUACUCAGAUGGUGGUGUGAAUAAUGAAGAGUUUCAAGAACAAUACAAAGAGGUUUUUGCUUUGAUGGUUCUGAACAAUUAAAAUAUUUGAAGUUUGUCAAAUGAUAGACAUGUAGACAGAUAGACAGACAGACAGAUAGAUACCGUAGAUAGAUAGAUACUGUAGCCAGGUAGAUACCACAGAUAAUCAGGUUACUGCGGCUUUAAUGGGUUUUGGCUGAAAAUGAAUUCAUAGCAGAGUUCCUAAUGGUGAUGCCAACAGAAGCUUAUGAAUUUGUCGAGCUAGAUAGAUAGAUAGAUACCGUAGACAGAUUGAUACCCUGGCCAGAUAGACACCAUAGAUGGAUACCGUAGACCGACAGAUACUGUAGACAGACAGACACAUAAAUACUGUGGACAGAUACCGUAAACAGCCAGAUACCAUAGACAGCCAGAUACCGUAGACCGACAGAUACUGUAGACAGACAGACACAUAAAUACUGUGGACAGAUACCGUAAACAGCCAGUUACCAUAGACAGCCAGAUACCAUAGACAGCCAGUUACUGUAGACAGCCAGAUACCGCAAACAGGCAGAUACCGUAGACAGCAAGUUACUGUAGACAGCCAGAUACAACAAACAGGCAGAUACCGUAGACAGCCAGUUACUGUAGACAGCCAGAUACAACAAACAGGCAGAUACCGUAGCAAGAUACCAUACAUGGCCAGAUACCGUAGACAGACAGAUACCGCAAGCAGACAGUUACUGCAAACAGAGAGAGACAGCAGAUAGCCAGACAGACAGACAGACAGACAGACAGAUAAAUACUGUGGACAGAUACCGUAAACAGCCAGAUACCAUAGACAGCCAGACAGACAGACAGACUAUAGACAGACAGACAGAUAAAUACUGUGGACAGAUACCGUAAACAGCCAGAUACCAUAGACAGACAGAUAAUGUAGACAGCCAGAUACCGCAAACAGGCAGAUACCGUAGACAGCCAGAUACUGCAAACAGGCAGAUACCGUAGCAAGACACCAUACAUGGCCAGAUAUCGUAGGCAGGCAGAUACCGUAGACAGACAGAUACCGCAAGCAGACAGUUACUGCAAACAGACAGAUACAGCAGAUAGACAGACAGACAGACAGACAGACAGACAGACAGACAGACAGACAGACAGACAGACAAAUACCGCAGACAGAUACCAUAGACAGUCAGAUACUAUAGACAGAUACUGUAGACAGUAACUGUAGAUAGAUACCCUAGCUAGCUAGAUAGAUACCAUAGAUAAAUAAAUAAAUAGAUAUCAUAGAUAGAUAACAUAGAUAGAUAGACAGAUAUAUAAAUAAAUUGACAAAUAGACAGAUAAACAGACAGAUAGACACUGUAGAUAGAUAGAUAGAUAGCAUAGAUAGACAGAUACCGCAGUUAAACAGAUACCGCAGUUAGACACCACAGACAAAUACUGUAGACAGUUACUGUAUAUAGAUACCCUAGCUAGCUAACUAGAUAUAUAGCAUAGAUAAAUAGAUAGAUACUGUAGAUAGAUACCAUAGAUAGAUACCAUAAAUAGAUAGACAGAUAGAUAAAUAAAUAGACAGAUAGACAGCGUAGAUAGGUACCGUAGAUACAUACUGUAGAUAGAUAGAUACCAUAUAUAGCUAGAUAGAUAGCUAGACAGACAGACAGACACCAUAGACGUAGAUAGAUAGACAGUCAAAUUCCGCAGACAGAUACCGCAGUUAGACAGAUACUGUAGACAGUCAGAUUCUCUAGACAGUUACUGUAGAUAGAUACCCUAGCUAAUGGCACAGAUAAAUAGAUAGAUACCGUAGAUAGAUACCAUAGAUAGACAGAUAGAUAAAUAAAUAGACAGAUAAACAAACAGAUAGACAUACACCGUAGAUAGGUACAGAAUAUACAUACCGUAGAUAGAUAGAUACCAUAGAUAGCUAGAUAAAUAGACAGACAGACAGACACCAUAACGUAGAUAGAUAGACAGUCAAAUUCCGCAGACAGAUAACGCAGUUAGACAGAUACUGUAGACAGUCAGAUACUCUAAACAGAUACUGUAGAUAGAUACCCUAGCUAGCUAGC